RNAcentral lists this transfer RNA (69 nucleotides) under Ictidomys tridecemlineatus (thirteen-lined ground squirrel). RNAcentral describes it as "Spermophilus tridecemlineatus (thirteen-lined ground squirrel) tRNA". It matches the Rfam family "tRNA". From Rfam's summary of the family: Transfer RNA (tRNA) molecules are approximately 80 nucleotides in length. Their secondary structure includes four short double-helical elements and three loops (D, anti-codon, and T loops). Lineage: Eukaryota; Metazoa; Chordata; Mammalia; Rodentia; Sciuridae. The record is from Rfam by way of RNAcentral.
GGGGCUGGGGCUCAGUGGUAGAGCGCUCGCCUGGCAUGUGUGAGGCCCGGGGUUUGAUCCUCAGCGCCA